GACGAACGCUGGCGGCGUGCUUAACACAUGCAAGUCGAACGGAAAGGCCUGCUUUCCCUUGUGGAUUGCGGGUACUCGAGUGGCGAACGGGUGAGUAACACGUGAGUGAUCUGCCCCCAACUUGGGUAUAAGCCUGGGAAACUGGGUCUAAUUCCCGAUAGGACUGCAGGGUGGUGCCUGUGGUGGAAAACGAUUUUCUAGUGGUUGGGGAUGAGCUCGCGGCCUAUCAGCUUGUUGGUGGGGUAAUGGCCUACCAAGGCGGCGACGGGUAGCCGGCCUGAGUGGGUGGACGGCCACAUUGGGACUGAGAUACGGCCCAGACUCCGUCGGGAGGCAGCAGUGGGGAAUAUUGCACAAUGGGCGGAAGCCUGAUGCAGCGACGCCGCGUGGGGGAUGACGGCCUUCGGGUUGUAAACUCCUUUCGACCGCGAGGAAGCCACCUGGUUGGAAGGGUGGUGACGGUAGUGGUAGAAGAAGCACCGGCUAACUACGUG
RNAcentral lists this ribosomal RNA (494 nucleotides) under uncultured bacterium. RNAcentral describes it as "partial 16S ribosomal RNA". It matches the Rfam family "Bacterial small subunit ribosomal RNA", at positions 28 to 507 of the family's 1533-position model. The record is from RNAcentral.